UGAACGCUGGCGGUAUGCUUUACACAUGCAAGUCGUACGGGAGUUUUUAACUCAAGUGGCGGACGGGUGAGUAACACGUAAGAAUUUACCUUUAGGAGGGGGAUAACAACUGGAAACGGUUGCUAAUACCCCAUAUGCUUUCGAGUGAAAUGGAUUUUUCCGCCUAGAGAGAAGCUCGCGGCUGAUUAGCUUGUUGGUAAGGUAAUGGCUUACCAAGGCGACGAUCAGUAUCUGGUUUGAGAGGACGAUCAGACACACUGGAACUGAGACACGGUCCAGACUCCUACGGGAGGCAGCAGUGGGGAAUUUUGCGCAAUGGGCGAAAGCCUGACGGAGCAAUACCGCGUGAGGGAUGACGGCCUAUGGGUUGUAAACCUCUUUUCUCAGGGAGGAAUAAAUGACGUGUACCUGAGGAAUAAGCAUCGGCUAACUCC
RNAcentral lists this ribosomal RNA (434 nucleotides) under uncultured bacterium. RNAcentral describes it as "bacterial SSU rRNA". It matches the Rfam family "Bacterial small subunit ribosomal RNA", at positions 30 to 504 of the family's 1533-position model. The record is from RNAcentral.